UACGAAGGCCCCGAGCGUUAUCCGGAAUUAUUGGGCGUAAAGGGUGCGUAGGUGGUUUUGUGCGUCUCCUGUUAAAUGUCGCCGCUCAACGGCGUCACCGCAGGGGAUACGGCAAGACUAGAGGAUGAGAGAGGCUUGUGGAAUUUACGGUGUAGGGGUGAAAUCCGUUGAUAUCGUAGAGAACACCAAAGGCGAAGGCAGCAAGCUGGCUCAUUUCUGACACUGAGGCACGAAAGCGUGGGGAGCAAAAAGG
This 253-nucleotide unclassified non-coding RNA is filed under the name uncultured Parcubacteria group bacterium. RNAcentral's name for it is "contains 16S-23S intergenic spacer region". It matches the Rfam family "Bacterial small subunit ribosomal RNA", at positions 524 to 776 of the family's 1533-position model. The record is from RNAcentral.